RNAcentral lists this small nucleolar RNA (137 nucleotides) under Castor canadensis (American beaver). Lineage: Eukaryota; Metazoa; Chordata; Mammalia; Rodentia; Castoridae. The record is from RNAcentral.
GACUUGGUAAGAACCGCACCACUUGGAGAGUGGCUUGUAUUCUGCCGGCUUCGGAAACAGGAGGAAAGCAAGGCUGGCAGAGAUACCCAUUCCAUUCCAGCAGGCUGAGUAGCAACAUGGGUAGGCUCUGGGCAGGA